AACCAAAAUGACUCCUCACAGAAGCAAGCUUCCCGACAACCUCAACAAUCCUAUGAGGAUCAAAAUCACCUCCUCCUCCUCCUCCUCCUCUAUGACCAUGUAUACCUCCUCCUACUUUCACAAACGGUUGAUUAGGAAGAGGUGGGACCCAGUAAGAGUAUCCAGGCAAAAAAGGGAGCCAAUCAGGUGCGGAACGUCUCACGAUAACCGAAUGGAUCACCUCUUCUAACUUCCUUAUUCCGCCUUCCGAUCCGAUAGAGGAGGAAUCGAGAUCGAUCUCGAUUAACUGAGGGUGAGGUGGUUCUCCUUCGCCGGAACCAUCGCCGUCGCCGGAUCGGUUGGAGUUUGAACGGUGACGGAGAGUGAGGGCAAGAGGUGGGGCGAAUUUGGG
RNAcentral lists this long non-coding RNA (391 nucleotides) under Nicotiana tabacum (common tobacco). RNAcentral describes it as "long non-coding RNA (NTAB_LNC008751)". The record is from RNAcentral. Lineage: Eukaryota; Viridiplantae; Streptophyta; Magnoliopsida; Solanales; Solanaceae.